UUCUUGAUCGUAUAACGGUUAGUAUGCUCGCUUGUCAUCUACAACUCGCGGGAGAUCGGAGUUCGAUUCUCCGUCAGGAAG
Molecule: non-coding RNA, 81 nt
Organism: Apiotrichum porosum
Lineage: Eukaryota; Fungi; Basidiomycota; Tremellomycetes; Trichosporonales; Trichosporonaceae
Source: the annotation of a RefSeq genome assembly